This is a non-coding RNA of Salinisphaera hydrothermalis C41B8, 356 nucleotides long. It matches the Rfam family "Bacterial RNase P class A". Rfam says of the family: Ribonuclease P (RNase P) is a ubiquitous endoribonuclease, found in archaea, bacteria and eukarya as well as chloroplasts and mitochondria. NCBI's taxonomy places the organism in Bacteria, Pseudomonadati, Pseudomonadota, Gammaproteobacteria, Salinisphaerales, Salinisphaeraceae. The record is from Rfam.
GGAGUCGGCCACGCAGUCGCGGCGUCGAAACAUCGACGUCGAGGAAAGUCCGGGCUCCAUAGGGCAGGACGCCAGGUAACCCCUGGGAGGCGUGAGUCUACGGAAAGUGCAACAGAGAGCAGACCGCCUAAGGUUCGCGUGAGCGAACCCGGCAAGGGUGAAACGGUGCGGUAAGAGCGCACCGCGCGACCGGCAACGGUUCGCGGCACGGUAAACCCCGUCCGGAGCAAGACCAAAUAGGAGGACGACGUGCGGCCCGCACAGUCCUCGGGUAGGUCGCAUGAGGCUGCCGGUGACGGCAGUCCCAGAUGAAUGGCUGCGCGCGACAGAACCCGGCUUACAGGCCGACUCCGAUU